AGGCUGAUUCCCCUUCAGGGUUCCCACCAACAGCUGAGGGGCUUCUCGGGGCCCCUUUGUUUCCUUUGGCCCCAUGAGUGCUGAGAGCUGAGUCCGGCUCCCAUGGCUCAGCUCAGCUUUUGCUUCCCCAGUUAUUGGUCAGCCCGGAUCCACGCCGCCCCAAGCAUCAGCCCAUCAUCCUUACUUUCCCCGUCUUUCAGACCUUGGCCCCCAAAAUUGUCACUGCUUUAGGAGUUCUUCAUUGAUUUCGAACAGACAUUUUAAGAUAGUUUUUUCUAGCUUGUGUUGUGUUUUUAAUGGGAGAGUUGGUCAGCGUCUGCUGGAACAGAGCUACGCCUAUGGAACCGUAGACUUGUUCGUGCUUUAUUGCAAUACUUUAAAGACACAAAGUCUCAACAACCAUCUUCCGCUUGACGAGACAGAUCAUUCUAAUUUGAGCAGAAGCUACUAUGUCCUGCCCUUUGAACGCGGCGGCCCGGACAGCUGACAAGGACACACUGUGUAUUUCCAUUCCAAUUCUGGGAGUGCUCUGAGGCCUCUGGGGGAGAAGGACCCAUGAAAUAUUCAAAACAUAAGUGAAUAAAAUAUCUAGGUGCUAGAUAUGGGCCAGGAAGAGCCCUCGGCCCUGCAAAGUGUGUGUGAUGGUGAGAAGCUACCGGAAGAGAUGGUCCCUGUGCUUGGUUCAUUCCUUGGACAUUUAUCAAGCUGACGAAUGUAGCAGAGGUGCUUCAGUCGGCUGUAAUUCCACGGGUGGAGUGCUGGCUGGAGAGUUACCUGGGGCUGUCACACUGCAUGGGCUCCGGGACACUGUGGCUGCCCUUAUGUGGUGUCCCCGGAGGGCCCUGCAGGUGUCACACCGCUGCUCCACACUGCCACCUGCUGUCAGCAUCUGUGCAACGUAUCCAGGUCUCUGGGGGCUAGAAUGAAAAACAUGCAUCUCGUAACCAAUGAAAUCGGGCUUGUCCUGAAGACCUCGUGCAUUCAUCCAUUCUCACACUGCUAUAAAGACAUACCUAAGACUGGGCA
Molecule: long non-coding RNA, 1026 nt
Organism: Homo sapiens (human)
Lineage: Eukaryota; Metazoa; Chordata; Mammalia; Primates; Hominidae
Product: long intergenic non-protein coding RNA 1694
Source: Ensembl